CCCCGCGCCAGCCCGCCUGGGCCUCUGCGCCGCCGGCGGCUUCUUAAAUACAGGAAAGGGAGGGGACCGCAGGGCCCCGGUGUUCCCCACCCUAGUCCCCCUUCACCACGGGCCACCGGGCGCCAGCGGAGUGGGCAGCGAGCGCGACCGAAAGUUCCAACUCCACCAAACUCCCGCGCGCGGCCCACCCUUUCCCGGGAUUUCGGGGAUGACACGGGGGCCAGUGGUCCUGUCUGGUGUGAACCGUCAGCACAGAUGGCCUCCUGGAGCUUCCCCGAGUCGUUCGCUGGGGGAAGCGGGCGGUGAGCGGCCAGCCCGGGCGCUCCGCAGGCCGCGAGCUCCCGGCAGGGCUGGUGGCGGGGGUCCGCCUGGGGGAGGAAUCCCCGCCUGCUCCAUCGGACCCGGCCUGGCGCGGCUCGCGGCGCUCGGCGGGCUCCCUUCCAUUCUAGAAUCUUCCCGCUUGCUUCCCAGCCCGCGUUCUUCCGCCUGCCUUUAAUUGUGUAAGUUUGACGAAGUCAGAGCUUUGGGUUCCAGGAAAAGCGCAGGAGGGUCAUAGAGGAAGGGAGGGCGCAGGUUGGAGUCAGGUCCAAACAGUCCCUAUCGCCACUUUUGAAAAAAAAAAAAAACAACAAAAACCCUUAAGGUUGGUUUUAUUUUGCCUUUUGGUAGCGGGCGUAUUCAUUUAGAUUUUUUUUUCAAGACAGGCAAAUAAAAGGUGUUUGAAAUCUCUAGUUAUCCCGUUUAACACACCCAUCGAUGGCGCUUUUCUAGUUAAGCUACGGGGGAAACGUCUUUAUCCCGCAGUUAGGCUGCGAACUUGUGCAGAUGCUCAGGCUUUGUGGAGACGCUCCGGCAUCUGGCGCAGAGGCGCCCGGCGGGGAAAAGUUUGCAGCCCGGGCUUUGGGGCGCGCGGGGGGCAGGAAUUUUUCUGAGAAGAGAGGGGCAUAGAGAGGCGGCGCGGGUGGGGAGAGAAAAAAGGAACGCAGGGGGGAGGGGGAAAAGCAGCUUGCAGGAUGGGAGUUUCUUGCAGAAUUUACAGGAUUAAGGAGUUUGGGGAAGUCGCAGAGCUGCAGCGGAAAGGCAGGGGUCUGAGACUACUUUUGAGAAGAGAAACAACGCAAAACGAUCGCUGGAGGGCCAGAGCCCUGGUCGAAGGUGCCCUAGCUUUUAUGACCUGGUUAAUUGUGUCUCCUUUUUAUUUUUAUUUUUUUCCUUACCACUACUACUACUACUACUUUUAUUUUUUUUUAACCGAUACACUUUGGAGAGAAGAAGCAGACACAGGUUCCCACGGCGUCUGACGCCUGCGGAGCAAGUCCAGAGCCAGCUGGACUCGCAGCCUCUGGCCCGGCGGCACCAACUCCUCACUGGGUCAUUUUGAGCGCGCUGUGCCCACCUUUUCUGUUGCGUGUGGACGUGGGGAGGAUCUUCUAAGUCCCUCCAACGAAGGCAAGUGUGAGACUCUGGCCCUUUAUUUGUAAGAAGCAAGCCUUCAGAUUGCAGAAGUGUCGCGCGGGUCGCCGUGCGUUGCGCGAGUGGGAAGAUGGAGGAGGCCGGCACGCUGCUUUCGUGGACGCAAGUGAACCGGGCGUGAAGGCAGGGUGCGAGCUCUGCCCUUGGCCCAGCCCUGCGUGGGCGCCGUCCCAGAUUCCGGGCGGUGCGGGGUGCAGAGAUCUGGAGAGACUUGCGGGCUCCCCAGCGCAGGCUGCUCUGGGAUUUCGUUGGAAGAUCCGGCAGAGCCUUGGAGGAGAGGGCCCGGGAGGCUGUGUGUGCAGCGGAAACUUGUACGAAUGCCCCCACAGCGGAAAUGGUGCGCACGAGUAAUUUCUGCGGUGCACCCUUUUAAAAAUUGACAAGUGAACAAGAUCAAUUUUUUAAGAAAGCAAAGGUAGAAAACAAAAGGCGUGCGACUUCUUGACUGGCUUGUUCCCGCCUUUCUUCCUUCUCUAUACUCAGAUCAGAAACUUUUCUUUAAUUGCUCUUAUUCAGUGCGACAACUUUUAAUAAAAGCAUUUGCAUUUUAA
RNAcentral lists this long non-coding RNA (2024 nucleotides) under Homo sapiens (human). RNAcentral describes it as "HSALNT0395394". Lineage: Eukaryota; Metazoa; Chordata; Mammalia; Primates; Hominidae. The record is from RNAcentral.